GACGCAGCCCACCCCUGAGGACCACCACCCUCCAUAAGGAACCAAUGGGAUCUGAUGGCAGCGGGCAGCCCUCAGCCCGGUGCGGGUUGGAUGCGGGGCCGGCACCGAUUCAUGAGGCGCCCGGCGGAUGGAGGGCGCUCGGAUGGAGGGUGCUCCGUUACCUUUAGUCACCUCCGGCUGCCGAGAUGCCAAUCCCCAUCGGUUCCUCAACAACCUGCAGCGGGGGAGCUGCUGCUGCUGCUGCUGCUACCACAAUCCAGUCAUAAAAAGCAGAGCUGGCCACGGUACCAGGAGGCACACGAAGAGCAGGGGAUCGUCGCCCAAGGAAAGAAAAAUCACACGCUGGAUACCGGAGGGUGUGUGGGGAUGGGGAGGCGGUCUCUCCCGCUCUCCCCGCCGCCAGCCCCCGGCCGCAGCCCCGCGGCUCUAUCUCCUCCAGGUGGGCAGCCUCAGGGCCGGGGGGUGGCCGCGGAGCCCGCACCUCCGCCCGGGCGAUCCGGAUGCGGCACGGUCAUCGCCUGCCUUGCUGCUGCUGCUGCUGCUGCUGCCGCUGCUGCCGCCGCCGGGGACAAGGAGCCGCUGCCGAAGAGACCACCAAAAAAAAGGAAGAAAAAAAGAAAAAAAAGGAGAGCAAUCUUCCACCAUCCCCCUUUUCUCUUCCUCCUCCAGCAGCACCAGCCGCUCUCCGCAUCCGCUCCCUGCCCCCGGCCCCUCACUCCGCCGGGGCUGGGGGACACAAAGGCUCCCGCUCUCAGGGGGGCGGCCGGCCCUCAGCUCCCCGGAGCCCCCCGGAGCCUUCCUCCUCCUCUUCCUCCUCCCGCUGCGGACACCGCCAGCCCCGGCUCGGGUGGGCUGGGCGGGCGCGAUGGGGGGGGAGAGGGGGCACGGCCGCCGGCAGCACGGCACGGCACGGCACGGCUCACACACGGGGAGGGGGCGGCCCGGCAGCGGCAGGCGGCGCGGCGCUGCUGCCCUGCCCGGCGGCGGCCGCACGGAGCCGGGCGGGCGGCGAGCCGAGGGGCGGGGGAGCGCCGAGGGCCCGGAUCUGGGUUGCGUGGACGCGGGCUCCACCUAGCAGCCGGCGCCGCGCCGCGCCGACCCCGGCCCCUUCCCUUUUCCUUUCCCCUUUUUCCGGCGCCCACCUGCACCCGUCCCCAUCGCCGCUCUCCGACACCCGCCGAGAGGAUCCCCCCCGCUGCCCCCAGCACAGCGGCCAAUGGCAGGCUGCCCACCGAACGAGGAAUCCCCCGCUGGAUUCCCCCACCUCUCCAUUGGAUGCUCUGCUCAUUGUAG
Molecule: long non-coding RNA, 1293 nt
Filed under: Coturnix japonica (Japanese quail)
Lineage: Eukaryota; Metazoa; Chordata; Aves; Galliformes; Phasianidae
Description: lncRNA (ENSCJPG00005010610.1)
Source: RNAcentral